AUUGAACGCUGGCAGCAGGCCUAACACAUGCAAGUCGAGCGGCAGCGGGAAGUAGCUUGCUACUUUGCCGGCGAGCGGCGGACGGGUGAGUAAUGCCUGGGGAUCUGCCCAAUCGAGGGGGAUAACUACUGGAAACGGUAGCUAAUACCGCAUACGCCCUACGGGGGAAAGCAGGGGACCUUUUGGCCUUGCGCGAUUGGAUGAACCCAGGUGGGAUUAGCUUGUUGGUGAGGUAACGGCUCACCAAGGCGACGAUCCCUAGCUGGUCUGAGAGGAUGAUCAGCCACACUGGAACUGAGACACGGUCCAGACUCCUACGGGAGGCAGCAGUGGGGAAUAUUGCACAAUGGGGGAAACCCUGAUGCAGCCAUGCCGCGUGUGUGAAGAAGGCCUUCGGGUUGUAAAGCACUUUCAGCGAGGAGGAAGGGGAGUGAGCUAAUACCUUACUUCAUUGACGUUACUCGCAGAAGAAGCACCGGCUAACUCCGUGCCAGCAGCCGCGGUAA
This 506-nucleotide ribosomal RNA is filed under the name uncultured bacterium. RNAcentral describes it as "partial 16S ribosomal RNA". It matches the Rfam family "Bacterial small subunit ribosomal RNA", at positions 30 to 523 of the family's 1533-position model. The record is from RNAcentral.